GACAUAGCUCAGUUGGUUAGAGCCUGGCGCUGAUAACGCCAAGGGUGCAAGUUUGGGACAGCUGCAUGUUCCUGCAUUGCAGCG
This is a non-coding RNA of Podarcis lilfordi (Lilford's wall lizard), 84 nucleotides long. The record is from the annotation of a GenBank genome assembly. NCBI's taxonomy places the organism in Eukaryota, Metazoa, Chordata, Lepidosauria, Squamata, Lacertidae.